Molecule: ribosomal RNA, 309 nt
Filed under: uncultured prokaryote
Description: partial 16S ribosomal RNA
Source: RNAcentral
CCCUACGGGGUGCCAAUGAAGUUCCAGGUUACCUGGUUCCAGAGUAUUACAGCCAGUAUUUACGGGAUGGCGAUGCGGAACCAUUAAAAGGCAUUUUCUACCAUAACGAACAAGAUGUCAUCAGUUUGGCAGCCUUGUUUGCGAUGUUGGCGGAUAUAUUAGCCAAUCCGGUGGAAUGGCAUAGUCCAUACUUUCAGGACAUUACCGCCAUUGGUCGGGUAUUAGAAAAAAUGGGCAAUCUCGACCAGGCUUCCCAGAUGUACCAGAAAAGCGCCCGUAUUGAUAAUUCCGAUGGCAUGCGGUUAGAGC